Small nucleolar RNA from Ostrea edulis (European flat oyster), 103 nucleotides. RefSeq annotates it as small nucleolar RNA SNORD16. Lineage: Eukaryota; Metazoa; Mollusca; Bivalvia; Ostreida; Ostreidae. The transcript has a single exon. The record is from RefSeq and is a predicted model, not a curated record.
AGCUAUGAUGUUGUAAUUUGCGUCUGACCGGUAGUUAUGGCGACAGUUGCCUGCUGUCAAUAUGUCAAACUGCUAAAUUGUAGACAACUUCUCUCUGACUGCU